RNAcentral lists this ribosomal RNA (472 nucleotides) under Clostridioides difficile. Its description in RNAcentral is "bacterial SSU rRNA". It matches the Rfam family "Bacterial small subunit ribosomal RNA", at positions 247 to 737 of the family's 1533-position model. The record is from RNAcentral. Lineage: Bacteria; Bacillati; Bacillota; Clostridia; Peptostreptococcales; Peptostreptococcaceae.
AGUUGGUAAGGUAACGGCUUACCAAGGCGACGAUCAGUAGCCGACCUGAGAGGGUGAUCGGCCACAUUGGAACUGAGACACGGUCCAAACUCCUACGGGAGGCAGCAGUGGGGAAUAUUGCACAAUGUGCGAAAGCCUGAUGCAGCAACGCCGCGUUAGUGAUGAAGGACUUCAGGUAGUAAAACUCUGUACUCCAGGACAAUCAUGACGGUACUUGAGGAGGAAGCCCCGGCUAACUACGUGCCAGCAGCCGCGGUAAUACGUAGGGGGCUAGCGUUAUCCGGAUUUACUGGGCGUAAAGGGUGCGUAGGCGGUCUUUCAAGUCAGGAGUGAAAGGCUACGGCUCAACCGUAGUAAGCUCUUGAAACUGGGAGACUUGAGUGCAGGAGAGGAGAGUGGAAUUCCUAGUGUAGCGGUGAAAUGCGUAGAUAUUAGGAGGAACACCAGUUGCGAAGGCGGCUCUCUGGACUGU